Molecule: ribosomal RNA, 144 nt
Filed under: Triticum aestivum (bread wheat)
Lineage: Eukaryota; Viridiplantae; Streptophyta; Magnoliopsida; Poales; Poaceae
Description: partial small subunit ribosomal RNA
Source: RNAcentral
AUGCAGGGCCAUCUGCACACCUACAGGUUCUGCGACGUGUGGACAUUCAUCCUGACGGACGCGCAGUUCAAGAACGAGGAGACGACCGAGCAGGUCGGCAAGGUGAAGAUCGUGGCCUGCGACUCCAAACUACUCAGCCAAUAA